RNAcentral lists this ribosomal RNA (449 nucleotides) under uncultured bacterium. RNAcentral describes it as "partial 16S ribosomal RNA". It matches the Rfam family "Bacterial small subunit ribosomal RNA", at positions 29 to 523 of the family's 1533-position model. The record is from RNAcentral.
AACGAACGCUGGCGGCAUGCCUAACACAUGCAAGUCGAACGAGAUCUUCGGGUCUAGUGGCGCACGGGUGCGUAACGCGUGGGAAUCUGCCCUUUGGUUCGGAAUAACAGUUGGAAACGACUGCUAAUACCGGAUGAUGACGAAAGUCCAAAGAUUUAUCGCCAGAGGAUGAGCCCGCGUAGGAUUAGCUAGUUGGUGUGGUAAAGGCGCACCAAGGCGACGACCCUUAGCUGGUCUGAGAGGAUGAUCAGCCACACUGGGACUGAGACACGGCCCAGACUCCUACGGGAGGCAGCAGUGGGGAAUAUUGGACAAUGGGCGAAAGCCUGAUCCAGCAAUGCCGCGUGAGUGAUGUAGGCCUUAGGGUUGUAAAGCUCUUUUACCCGUGAUGAUAAUGACAGUACCGGGAGAAUAAGCUCCGGCUAACUCCGUGCCAGCAGCCGCGGUAA